Halichondria panicea is the source of this 1756-nucleotide long non-coding RNA. RefSeq lists it as uncharacterized. The transcript is spliced from 4 exons. NCBI's taxonomy places the organism in Eukaryota, Metazoa, Porifera, Demospongiae, Suberitida, Halichondriidae. The record is from RefSeq and is a predicted model, not a curated record.
CAAGGCUAUAGUAUAAGAGUACGUGCGAGUGCAUGAGAAAUGUAUAGACUGUUAGCAAUCAGAAUGGCUACUCAACAAGAGUAUGAGGACAUACUGCUGUACAAGACUGCUGCCAGCAAUGCUGGCCACAAGAAAUACAGAGACGGGCUUUCCACUAAUGACAAGAGAAGUAUAAGAGACAAAGUCAAGUUCAAAGAUAUGCUCUGCAGCAACAAUGCUUAUACCUGCUUGAGAAGGACAGCACUGGCAUGCAUAGAAUGAGAAGAGUUGUGGUGAAGCAAGAGGAGAAAAGCAGGAUACUAAACAUGUGCCACGAUGGACUGGAUGGAAUGCAUUUUGGGAGAGACAAGACCUAUGGAAAGGUUGCUCAGGAUUUCUACUGGAAAGGCCUACAUGCUGACGUCAUACAGCUCUGCAAGCACUGCGACAAAUGCCAACGAACGAAUCACCAACUGCAGAAGCCCAGAGCAGAACUACAUCCCAUCCCUGUGACAAAGGUCUGGUACAGAGUUGGUAUUGACUUAGUAGGACCUCUACCUGAAACAAGCUCUGGAAACAAGUACAUUAUCACGCUCUCAGACUAUUUCUAAGUGGCCUGAGGCUGCCCCACUCCCAUCAAAAUCAGCAGAAGGUGUAGCAAAAUUUCUGUUUGACACAUUUUGCAGGUAUGGGUGGCCAAAAGUGAUUCAAUCAGACCAAGGAAGAGAGUUUGUCAACGAAAUCAACACCCGACUUUUUCAGUUGACUGACAUACAGCACUGCGUAUCAAGUGCUUACCACCCACAAACAAAUGGCCUUGAUGAACGCUUCAACCAGACUCUAGUGAACACUCUCAAGAAGGUAAUCGAUUCUAGUACUGAUGACUGGGAUCAGCAUCUCUCUGCUGCUGUUUAUGCCUAUCGCAUAUCAAAACAGGCGUCAUCAAAGUACACACCCUUUUUCUUAAUGUUCAAUCGCCACCUGCGGAAAGCUGUUACUUUUGAUAUGGAUCAACAAGAUGGUGCCGACGCUAUAGAAGAUAGAGGAGAUGCUGACCAAUUGAGUGGAGAGGAGACUGAAAAUGAAGAAGACGGAGAAGACAUGGAUGGAAUUCUCCGAAGGUUGAUGGAAAUUCAUGAUCGCUGUCACCUCAAUGCCAAGGAGAACAUUGCUGCUGCAUGCACAGCAAAAACAGAAGCAGCAGUAUGACAACAAGCAUAACUCUUUGAAGAGUUAUCCAGUUGGCAGCAGUGUCAUGCUAAAGAAUAUGGCCAAUUCUCAUCGAAUGGGAGGGAAAGUGGACUGCACCUGGAAAGGUCCAUAUAACGCUUUCCCCAAGUACUGAGCUCCAGAUAGCACAAGUGUAUAGCCCAUUAAUUCAAUGCAAUGGGCUCUGUGGUGGCUCUCCAGCAGCAAGAGGGUGCUAACAACUGCGGACUAUUUAGCAUUGCUGCUGCAAUCACGCUGCUAUGAACGAUAAUGUGGAUUCUCUAGUGUUUGAUGAGGCCAAAAUGAGAGCACAUCUCAUUAAGUGCUUUGAGAAGGGAAAACUCUCACGGUUCCCUCGCACAAAGAAAGCGAUGCCCAAAAGACCAACACCACAAACCAUUGCCAUUACAAUAUACUGCAUGUGCAAGAGACCGGACUCUUUUGAGGAUAUGGUCAUGUGUGACAAAUUUAGUGAGUAGUAUCACUAUCGCUGUGCCAAAAUUCGCAAUGAACCAGUAGGUAAUUGGUUUUGUUCUGGUUGUAUCGAUUUGUGCACUUUUGGUUAUAU